This 424-nucleotide ribosomal RNA is filed under the name uncultured bacterium. RNAcentral's name for it is "bacterial SSU rRNA". It matches the Rfam family "Bacterial small subunit ribosomal RNA", at positions 355 to 771 of the family's 1533-position model. The record is from RNAcentral.
UGGGGAAUUUUGGACAAUGGGCGCAAGCCUGAUCCAGCCAUGCCGCGUGUGUGAAGAAGGCCUUCGGGUUGUAAAGCACUUUCGGACGGAACGAAAUCGCGCGGGUUAACAGCCCGCGUGGAUGACGGUACCGUAAGAAGAAGCACCGGCUAACUACGUGCCAGCAGCCGCGGUAAUACGUAGGGUGCGAGCGUUAAUCGGAAUUACUGGGCGUAAAGUGUGCGUAGGCGGCGUCGCAAGUCGAGUGUGAAAGCCCCGGGCUUAACUUGGGAAUUGCGCUCGAAACUACGGCGCUUGAGUGUGGCAGAGGGAGGUGGAAUUCCACGUGUAGCGGUGAAAUGCGUAGAGAUGUGGAGGAACACCAAUGGCGAAGGCAGCCUCCUGGGCCAACACUGACGCUCAUGCACGAAAGCGUGGGGAGCAA